Non-coding RNA from Pleodorina starrii, 88 nucleotides. The record is from the annotation of a GenBank genome assembly. Lineage: Eukaryota; Viridiplantae; Chlorophyta; Chlorophyceae; Chlamydomonadales; Volvocaceae.
AACCCGUUGGCGUAGUGCAGUGGAGAACGCACUGGACUUCUAUUGAGUAGGCAUCCAGGGAUCAUGGAUUCGAAUACCAUACGGGGCG